CCAAUAGCGUAUAUUAAAGUUGUUGCAGUUAAAAAGCUCGUCGUUGAAUUUUAGGCCUGGCCGGGCGGUCCGUCUUUGGCGAGUACUGUCCUGUGUCGGGUCCACCUUCUGGUGAACCAGUAUGUCCUUUAUUGGGUGUGCCGGGGAGCCAGGACCAUUACCUUGAAAAAAUUAGAGUGUUUAAAGCGGGCAUUUGCUUGAAUAGAUUAGCAUGGAAUAAUAGAAUAGGACGUUGUGGUUCUAUUUUGUUGGUUUCUAGGACCACCGUAAUGAUUAAUAGGGAUAGUUGGGGUCAUUAGUAUUCAAUUGUCAGAGGUGAAAUUCUUGGAUUUAUUGAAGACUAACUAUUGCGAAAGCAUUUGCCAAGGAUGUUUUCAUUAAUCAAGAACGAAAGUUAGGGGAUCGAAGACGAUCAGAUACCGUCGUAGUCUUAACCAUAAACUAUGCCGACUAGGAAUCGGGCGACGUUAUUUUCAUGACUCGCUCGGCGCCUUAUG
This 497-nucleotide ribosomal RNA is filed under the name uncultured Glomeromycotina. RNAcentral's name for it is "partial small subunit ribosomal RNA". It matches the Rfam family "Eukaryotic small subunit ribosomal RNA", at positions 591 to 1092 of the family's 1831-position model. Lineage: Eukaryota; Fungi; Glomeromycota. The record is from RNAcentral.